AGCAAUACGUUUGUAAGCGGCGAACGGGUGAGGAAUACAUGGGUAACCUACCCUCGAGUGGGGAAUAACUAGCCGAAAGGUUAGCUAAUACCGCGUACGCUUCUUGGACUUCGGUUCAGGGAGGAAAGCGAUACCGUGGGUAUCGCGCUCUUGGAUGGGCUCAUGUCCUAUCAGCUUGUUGGUGAGGUAACGGCUCACCAAGGCUUCGACGGGUAGCUGGUCUGAGAGGACGAUCAGCCACACUGGCACUGCGACACGGGCCAGACUCCUACGGGAGGCAGCAGUAAGGAAUAUUGCGCAAUGGGCGAAAGCCUGACGCAGCGACGCCGCGUGGGGGAUGAAGGUCUUCGGAUUGUAAACCCCUUUCGGGAGGGAAGAUGGAAUGGGGUAACCCAUUCGGACGGUACCUCCAGAAGCAGCCACGGCUAACUUCGUGCCAGCAGCCGCGGUAAUACGAAGGUGGCAAGCGUUAUUCGGAUUUACUGGGCGUACAGGGAGCGUAGGCGGUUCGGUAAGCCCUUUGUGAAAUCUUCAGGCUUAACCUGGAAAAGUCGGAGGGGACUGCCGGGCUAGAGGACGGGAGAGGAGCGCGGAAUUCCCGGUGUAGCGGUGAAAUGCGUAGAGAUCGGGAGGAAGGCCGGUGGCGAAAGCGGCGCUCUGGAACGUUUCUGACGCUGAGCUCGAAAGCGUGGGGAGCAACAGGA
This 704-nucleotide ribosomal RNA is filed under the name uncultured bacterium. RNAcentral describes it as "bacterial SSU rRNA". It matches the Rfam family "Bacterial small subunit ribosomal RNA", at positions 78 to 777 of the family's 1533-position model. The record is from RNAcentral.